RNAcentral lists this small nuclear RNA (267 nucleotides) under Castor canadensis (American beaver). RNAcentral describes it as "7SK RNA (ENSCCNG00000015943.1)". It matches the Rfam family "7SK RNA", at positions 1 to 284 of the family's 331-position model. From Rfam's summary of the family: 7SK was discovered as an abundant small nuclear RNA in the mid-70s but a possible function has only recently been suggested. Two independent studies have found that 7SK RNA binds the CDK9/cyclin T complex (known as elongation factor P-TEFb). The record is from Rfam by way of RNAcentral. Lineage: Eukaryota; Metazoa; Chordata; Mammalia; Rodentia; Castoridae.
GGAUGUGAGGGCAAUCUGGCUUGUGACAUCUGUCACCCCAUUGAUCACCAGGUUUGGUGUGGCUGAUCUGGCUGGCUAGGCGCGCGUCCCCUUCCUCCCUCACCACUCCAUGUGCGUCCCUCCCAGAGCUGUGCGCUUGGUCGAAGAAGUCCCCGAUAGAGAAGGACUGUUCUUUGGUCAAAGGUGUACCAGUAUUUGUGCUUCCCUCUAGAACCUCCAAAAAACAAGCUGUCAAAAGGAGGAGGAGGAGCAGAAGGAGGAGGAAGU